Molecule: ribosomal RNA, 524 nt
Filed under: uncultured bacterium
Lineage: Bacteria
Description: bacterial SSU rRNA
Rfam family: Bacterial small subunit ribosomal RNA
Source: RNAcentral
UGGGGAAUAUUGCACAAUGGGGGAAACCCUGAUGCAGCGACGCCGCGUGAGUGAAGAAGUAUUUCGGUAUGUAAAGCUCUAUCAGCAGGGAAGAUAAUGACAGUACCUGACUAAGAAGCCCCGGCUAACUACGUGCCAGCAGCCGCGGUAAUACGUAGGGGGCAAGCGUUAUCCGGAUUUACUGGGUGUAAAGGGAGCGUAGACGGAAUGGCAAGUCUGAAGUGAAAUACCCGGGCUCAACCUGGGAACUGCUUUGGAAACUGUUGUUCUAGAGUGUUGGAGAGGUAAGUGGAAUUCCUGGUGUAGCGGUGAAAUGCGUAGAUAUCAGGAAGAACACCGGAGGCGAAGGCGGCUUACUGGACAAUAACUGACGUUGAGGCUCGAAAGCGUGGGGAUCAAACAGGAUUAGAUACCCUGGUAGCCCACGCUGUAAACGAUGAAUACUAGGUGUCGGGGUACAAAGUAUCUCGGUGCCGUCGCUAACGCAAUAAGUAUUCCACCUGGGGAGUACGUUCGCAAGAAUG